This is a non-coding RNA of Pelodiscus sinensis (Chinese soft-shelled turtle), 1375 nucleotides long. The record is from RefSeq and is a predicted model, not a curated record. NCBI's taxonomy places the organism in Eukaryota, Metazoa, Chordata, Testudines, Trionychidae.
CCCCAGGUAGCAGGAGAGAUGGAACUUCCCAGAACUUCUUGAAUUCACUGAAAUGUACAGUGUUAAAGGGCCAUCACCAACUUUAGUAGCCAUUCUUCAGCAGUGGGGAAGUAUAAAGAAGAUAUUUGCAUUUCAUCACAGUGAUGAUUCAAACCUCACAUCCACAAAUGUCUCCUCAUUACCAUGAGUCAGCAUGGAUGUUUUUGGAACAAAAGAUUGAAUAAAGAGAGAAGAAAACAUUUGAUUUCAUCUCUCCUUCUCCUUUCUCUCUUGGCUCGUUACAUCAACUCUCAAAGAACAAAACUAAGAAAGGAGCCCCAGCCUGUGAAAUUUACAACAGUAUAUGGGUCCAAGAAGGAGGCCAGCUAGAAGAGCAACAGGGAAACAAGAAUGGAAAGGAACAUCAAGAAGGAGGAAGACCUGGAAGAAGAACUCACCUCCAAGACACAGCCUAAGACGAGAGCUGCACGAUUCUUAUGCAUGACCGUGACGUGCAGCGGCUAAGAUCCUGAGAGACUAACCUUACCCGAGCAACAAGGGAAGUCUGCCUGCCUGUAUCAGGACUGGUGGUGAUGGCCAUUAAUUCUGAGCUUCUCCACAGGACUGUCUGCCUCUGAGACCUUCCUGCCAUCUUGGCCGGAUUUGCAGGGCUGAGGUUUCUGAACUGCAGUGGAGCUCUCGACGGGACUCACAUCCCGAUCCGCGCACCGUCCCAUCAAGCAGCAAAGUACAUUAAUAGAAAAGGCUACUUUUCCAUGGUGCUGCAGGCCCUGGCUGAGCACCAGCGACGGUUCACUGACAUUUGUAUCGGGUGGGCAGGCUGGGCACACGAUGCCCGCAUCUUCUGGAGCUCAUACCUGUACCUCAGGAUGCAGGCUGGGUCAUUUUUCUCAGAGACGACCUAUGCAGUAAGGGAUGUGCAGAUGCCUACGUGCAUCUUAUGCCCUGGCUCAUGAAACCCUACAUCGGCCACCUGGAUGCGAGCAGGGAACUCUUUAUAUCCCGCCUGAAUCAGGCUCGCUUCUAGGUGGAGUGCGCCUUUGGCUGGCUGAAGAACAGAUUCAGUUGCCUGCUCACUCAGCUGGACAUGGGGGAACAUAACAUUCCCGAUGUGGUAGCAGCAUGCUGUGUGCUGCACAACCUGGUGGAGAGGAAGGGGAGGCCUUCCUCCCUGCAUGGGGGACACGGGCUGAUGUGGAGGGGAGGCACUUUAAGCAGCCCUGGACAGCUGCCAUCCAACAAGCCCACCAGUUGGGAUUGCAAAUCCAAGAAGCGCUGAGGAAGCAAUUCUCCCACGGAGGCCAAUGAGUUUCCUCAGGGCCUUCUAAAUAUGGGAUUGCCCCAUGCCCCCGGUGCCUUCCCCCCCAAAACCACU